AGGAUGAACGCUGGCGGCGUGCUUAACACAUGCAAGUCGAACGAUGAACACCGGAGCUUGCUCUGGUGGGAUUAGUGGCGAACGGGUGAGUAACACGUGAGUAACCUGCCCCAGACUCUGGGAUAAGCACUGGAAACGGUGUCUAAUACCGGAUACAACCCUCCACCGCAUGGUGAGGGGGUGAAAGAAUUUCGGUCUGGGAUGGACUCGCGGCCUAUCAGGUAGUUGGUGAGGUAACGGCUCACCAAGCCGACGACGGGUAGCCGGCCUGAGAGGGUGACCGGGCCGACGACGUGGGACUGGAGACACGGCCCAGACUCCUACGGGAGGCAGCAGUGGGAAUAGUUGCACAAUGGGCGCAAGCCUGGAUGCAGCAACGCCGCGUGAGGGACGAAGGCUCGGUGUAACCUCUUUAGAGGAAGAAGCGAAAGUGACGUACUGCAGAAAAGCGACG
This 454-nucleotide ribosomal RNA is filed under the name uncultured soil bacterium. RNAcentral describes it as "bacterial SSU rRNA". It matches the Rfam family "Bacterial small subunit ribosomal RNA", at positions 26 to 495 of the family's 1533-position model. The record is from RNAcentral.